UCCUACGGGAGGCAGCAGUGGGGAAUAUUGCGCAAUGGGGGAAACCCUGACGCAGCGACGCCGCGUGAAGGAAGAAGGCCUUCGGGUUGUAAACUUCUUUGAUCGGGGACGAAGAUGACGGUACCCGAGGAACAAGCCACGGCUAACUACGUGCCAGCAGCCGCGGUAAUACGUAGGUGGCAAGCGUUGUCCGGAAUUACUGGGCGUAAAGGGUGCGUAGGCGGCCCUUUAAGUCAGAUGUGAAAGCCCGCAGCUUAACUGCGGAAUUGCAUUUGAAACUGGAGGGCUUGAGUGUCGGAGAGGGUAGUGGAAUUCCCAGUGUAGCGGUGAAAUGCGUAGAUAUUGGGAGGAACACCAGUGGCGAAGGCGACUGCCUGGACGAUAACUGACGCUGAGGCACGAAAGCUAGGGGAGCAAACAGGGUUAGAUACCCUGGUAGUCCUAGCCGUAAACGAUGGGUACUAGGUGUAGGUGGUUUCGAUACCAUCUGUGCCGUAGUUAACGCAUUAAGUACCCCGCCUGGGGAGUACGUGCGCAAGCAUGAAACUCAAAGGAAUUGACGGGGGCCCGCACAAGCGGUGGAGCAUGUGGUUUAAUUCGAAGCAACGCGAAGAACCUUACCAGGUCUUGACAUCCCUGGACAGCUGUGGAAACACAGUUUCCCUUCGGGGCCAGGAGACAGGUGGUGCAUGGUUGUCGUCAGCUCGUGUCGUGAGAUGUUGGGUUAAGUCCCGCAACGAGCGCAACCCUUGCCUUUAGUUGCCAUCAUUAAGUUGGGGACUCUAAAGGGACUGCCGGUGACAAAUCGGAGGAAGGUGGGGAUGACGUCAAAUCAUCAUGCCCCUUAUGAUCUGGGCUACACACGUGCUACAAUGGGUGGUACAGAGGGAAGCGAAGCCGUGAGGCGGAGCGAAUCCCAGAAAGCCACUCUCAGUUCGGAUUGCAGGCUGCAACUCGCCUGCAUGAAGUCGGAAUCGCUAGUAAUCGCAGGUCAGCAUACUGCGGUGAAUACGUUCCCGGGCCUUGUACACACCGCCCGUCACACCACGAAAGUUCGCAACACCCGAAGCCGGUGGCCUAACCGCAAGGAGGGAGCCGUCGAAGGUGGGGCGGAUGAUUGGGGUGAAGUCGUAACAAGGUAGCCA
This 1145-nucleotide ribosomal RNA is filed under the name uncultured bacterium. Its description in RNAcentral is "bacterial SSU rRNA". It matches the Rfam family "Bacterial small subunit ribosomal RNA", at positions 337 to 1502 of the family's 1533-position model. The record is from RNAcentral.